UGAGAAACAGAGAAAGUGUUCUUCCUCUCGGGUUUGAGCUAUGGGUUCUAAAGUUUCAUCUCUAAGUUUUGUGAGAAGAAAAAUACAAGAGUGAGUCUUGUCCAAUCUUUCACACCAUCACCUUCUUAUAAAGCUUCAUCUUCUCAUCCAAAGAAGUCCGGAAGAUCCAAAGAAAGGAGCUUGGAUCAGCCAUCCAGAGCCUUCGAUGCGAGCUAGCUCUCCCACA
RNAcentral lists this long non-coding RNA (226 nucleotides) under Elaeis guineensis (African oil palm). RNAcentral describes it as "long non-coding RNA (EGUI_LNC050063)". Lineage: Eukaryota; Viridiplantae; Streptophyta; Magnoliopsida; Arecales; Arecaceae. The record is from RNAcentral.